This is a long non-coding RNA of Tetranychus urticae (two-spotted spider mite), 2183 nucleotides long. RefSeq lists it as uncharacterized. The record is from RefSeq and is a predicted model, not a curated record. NCBI's taxonomy places the organism in Eukaryota, Metazoa, Arthropoda, Arachnida, Trombidiformes, Tetranychidae.
GAGAUACAAGAAAUGCGGAGGAAAAGGAGAAGUUAUUUUGACGGCCAAGAAAAAUGGUAAGAAAAAACAGGCGAGCAAAAAAUGUAAACCUAAGGGGAUAUAAUCAUUGAUUGGGUAUUUUAUGAGCAUCAAUCAGAGAUGAGAGAAAAAAAUAUAUAAUGUUAUUCAUCAUUUUAAGGGUAAAAAUACAAAAAAAGGUAGAGUAGAAAAAGGGAAAGAAGAGUAACAAAAAAAUAUAUAAGCAAGACAAAAUCAGGAAAAGGGCAAUCAUCCUCAAGAGAUUUUGAGUAACUUGCUCUUUUUUCAUCAUAAUUUUUGAGAUUUUUCAUCCUCUUUCUUUUGUUCUUUACCAUCACAAUCAUCACUAUCAUCAUCAUAGUCAUCAUCAUCAGGAUGGCACAAAAGUAACAAUAAAGUAACUUCUUUUAAUAGAGACUCUUGUCACAAACUUGUCAGACUUUUUUGCCUUUUCAUCUCUUGCUAUUUCCACUAUUUAUACCGUUUCUGCUAUUUCCACUAUUUAUACCGUUUCUGCUAUUUUCACUAUCAUUUUAUGCCUUUCUAAUGUAGCAUAAAAAGCAGGAAAACAUAAAAGAGGUAAAAUGAACAAUUGGCAUAAAAAGCAUCAAAUGUGUAAUCAAAAGCUUACUGUUUUUGUUAACCAAUUUAAUCUUUAACCAGGACCAAUCAAUGUAAUCAUCUUUUCUUUAUUUUUAUUACCUGACACAUCUAUCAACAACAACAUUUUCACCUGGAAUUACCAUCAAGUAUCAUUAUUAUCAUCAUCAUACACUUUAACUCACCAAUUUACUUCUUAUGCCAUCUCAUCAACCAUGCUUUCAACAUUUAUCCCUUCAAUCUAUACUAAAGUUUCCUGAUAAAUUAUUAAAUAAUAAAAGAUCAAAAUAGGAGCUGAUAAAACUGAUAGUUCAAUCAGCAAUGCUCAAAUUCAAUCCAAAUGAGAUAAGAUCUGUUUGAUGUGCGUCAAAGUCAAUCAAUAAUUUUCAUUUAUAUCGUAAUGGCCACCACCAGAAGGGAUACACAACCAAGCAGAAAGAGAAACGUGAAACAUCAACAGUUGAAUGCAACUGUCAAAAUGAGUCAAAUGAAAGAAACAAGCGUUCACAUCAUCACAUCAAGUUAGACUACCUUAGCGGUAAAGCAAAAUCCAUUCUUUCGGCACAAUCAAAUAAUUUCAACGAUCAAAGAUUCAUAGAUCACAAAAAUAUUCACCAGUGGAUAACAAGGAUCACAAACCUCUUCAAGUGUAAAAAAGGGAAAUCAACAUCUACUUUCGACAACACACGACACAAGAAAAAAAGAAAUAAAGUAUUAGAUGCCUGAAAACACAUGACAUGAGAAUGUUGGAUAACUGUCUCUCUUUCUCUGUCUACCUUGGAAUAAGGAGGUUUCUCUUUGCGGCUUUUUCAUCCUGAUAAUAUGCAAACAUUUUCCCUCUUCUCUUAAUGGAGAUGAACUUUACAAUGUUGAUGGUUAAAAUAAGAGAAGGAGAUUUGCAAGCUAAAAACAGCAAAAAGAGCAAUUGACGAAAAAUAUUGUACAUUUUCAUCAGAUUGUUUAUGGACCAGUGGUGCUUUCAGGAUAAAUUGGCAAAAUGAGAUUGUGGACGCUGAUCAAAGAGGAUUAAUUCUUUAAGAAAGGAGGAUUAUUUAGUGGCAAUGGAACCAGUAAAGUGCCCAAAAUGUCUCUCAGAUUCACAGCUCAAUUGACUAGACUUUUUAUUUCUUUCCUCUCUCAUUUUCCGUUACUUGAUUUACCACUACCUUAAAUUUUCUUUCUCUCUUCCUUUCCAUUUCUUCCUUAUCUUGCUCUCACUCUAACCAUUUUCAAAGCUAACUGUAGUUAAGCUCAUAAAGAGUGUCAAUCUUUUCCUUUUUUUAUGUUUAUAUGUAUGACUGUGUGUUUGUCAAAUUUUAUCAAUUCCAUCUUGAGUCGAGUAUUAUAUAAACAUAUUCAGAUUUAGUCUAAUCAUUAGUUUACAUCAUUUUAGUGGAAGGAGAAAAAAAACUUCUCUUAAAAUUCAUCGUUUUCUUUUUUCUCCCUUUCCUUUUCAAAUGAUAAAAAUCAGCAUCAAAAGCAAAUAUGACAGGAAACUAUUUCCAUCAAAAAUGUCAACAUCAACCUGUAGGAUUUGACUCAUUAUAAAAGCUCAUCACCAGUAA